UACGUAGGCAGCGAGCGUUGUUCGGAGUUACUGGGCGUAAAGGGCGCGUAGGCGGCGACUCUAGUCAGAUGUGAAAGUCCUGGGCUUAACCUGGGGACUGCAUUUGAUACUGGGUUGCUUGAAUUCGGGAGAGGAUAGCGGAAUUCCCAGUGUAGAGGUGAAAUUCGUAGAUAUUGGGAAGAACACCGGUGGCGAAGGCGGCUAUCUGGACCGACAUUGACGCUGAGGCGCGAAAGCGUGGGGAGCAAACAGG
RNAcentral lists this ribosomal RNA (253 nucleotides) under uncultured bacterium. RNAcentral describes it as "partial 16S ribosomal RNA". It matches the Rfam family "Bacterial small subunit ribosomal RNA", at positions 524 to 776 of the family's 1533-position model. The record is from RNAcentral.